RNAcentral lists this transfer RNA (75 nucleotides) under Fucus vesiculosus. RNAcentral describes it as "transfer RNA-Gly(gcc)". It matches the Rfam family "tRNA". From Rfam's summary of the family: Transfer RNA (tRNA) molecules are approximately 80 nucleotides in length. Their secondary structure includes four short double-helical elements and three loops (D, anti-codon, and T loops). Lineage: Eukaryota; Phaeophyceae; Fucales; Fucaceae. The record is from RNAcentral.
GCGAGUGUAGCUCAGUGGUAGAGCGUAGCCUUGCCAAGGUUGAUGUCGCGCGUUCGAAUCGCGUCACUCGCUUUG